Long non-coding RNA from Esox lucius (northern pike), 741 nucleotides. RefSeq lists it as uncharacterized. The transcript has 4 exons. NCBI's taxonomy places the organism in Eukaryota, Metazoa, Chordata, Actinopteri, Esociformes, Esocidae. The record is from RefSeq and is a predicted model, not a curated record.
UCCGCAUAGGAUACACCUGUGUAUCCUCUAGGGGUGGAACGGUACACAGAAGUCACGGUUCGGUUCGUAACUCGGUUUAGACUUCACGGUUCGGUACGAUUUUGGUACAAUGGAAGGAAAAGCAAAACAAAAAUGCAGAAGCUUGAAAUUCACCCGGGCUUUUUGUUCCCAAAAACGUGUUGUGGUCAGCAAGCCAUGCAAACACCCCCACUACCAUGGCACGGAUGCUCUUACUGGGAGUGUUUGAUAUCGAAACCCUUUUAAAGAGCAAUCUUAGAGGUGGCAAGUCCAAAAAUGUGAGCCCUGGGGAAACCAAAGAGCCAUUGGACAGGAUAAAAAUUGAUGCAAUAAUGAUUGGACAAAUUCUAGUCCUGAUGAUUCUGCCACGAGAAGAAGGCAACCCCCAACUGACGGGGGAGGCUAAGGAAAGUUCCGGUUCUGGACAACGUUUACUGGGGCGUGGAAGACCAACUGCACAAACAUGCCACGCUGGGUCCAUACCAGGUACACCUCAUAUGCUGUCCAGGUAGCUGAGGAAGGAGCCUGGGGUCGACGCCACACGCUACAGGAGGGCUUCAGUGUUUACAAAUUUGGCACAGUGAAUUGAAGUCACUGAGGGAAAAGUGAGCUUUUUGGUACUAGUAACCAUCACUUCCAACCCGGCCUGCCACUAUAGAGUUCUUAAAUAAAACUGGUCAUCUUGGAAUUCACAAAAGAGAGCACACAGAUUCUCCUGACCUG